RNAcentral lists this ribosomal RNA (379 nucleotides) under Pinnularia neglectiformis. Its description in RNAcentral is "eukaryotic LSU rRNA". It matches the Rfam family "Eukaryotic large subunit ribosomal RNA", at positions 85 to 499 of the family's 3401-position model. The record is from RNAcentral. Lineage: Eukaryota; Bacillariophyta; Bacillariophyceae; Sellaphorales; Pinnulariaceae.
AAGGGCGACUGAAGCGUCAAUAGUUUACCAUGUGAAUCUGCAGUGUUGAAUUGUGGUCUGGAGAUUCUUGCAUUUGGGCUAAGUCCCUUGGAAUGGGGCAGCUAAGAGGGUGAGACUCCUGUCUGCCUGGCUUGAUCAUAGAGUCGAGUUGUUUGGGAUUUCAGCUCUAAGGGGGUGGUAAAUUCCAUCAAAAACUAAAUAUUGGUGGAAGACCGAUAGCGAACAAGUACCGUGAGGGAAAGAUGCAAAGAACUUUGAAAAGAGAGUUAAAGAGUACCUGAAAUUGCUGAAAAGGAAGCAAAGGAAAUCAGUGAUGUUGAGCCAUAUUUCCCUGUUCGCUUGCGGUUGGGGCGCUGUGGCCAGCAUGGUCCACAUUGAU